GAUUAACGCUGGCGGCGUGCUUAACACAUGCAAGUCGAACGGAAAGGCUCCUGCUUGCAGGGGUACUCGAGUGGCGAACGGGUGAGUAACACGUGGGUGAUCUGCCCUGCACUUCGGGAUAAGCCUGGGAAACUGGGUCUAAUACCGGAUAGGACGAUGGUUUGGAUGCCAUUGUGGAAAGUUUUUCGGUGUGGGAUGAGCUCGCGGCCUAUCAGCUUGUUGGUGGGGUAAUGGCCUACCAAGGCGUCGACGGGUAGCCGGCCUGAGAGGGUGUACGGCCACAUUGGGACUGAGAUACGGCCCAGACUCCUACGGGAGGCAGCAGUGGGGAAUAUUGCACAAUGGGCGCAAGCCUGAUGCAGCGACGCCGCGUGGGGGAUGACGGCCUUCGGGUUGUAAACUCCUUUCGCUAGGGACGAAGCGCAAGUGACGGUACCUGGAGAAGAAGCACCGGCUAACUACGUG
This 465-nucleotide ribosomal RNA is filed under the name uncultured bacterium. RNAcentral describes it as "partial 16S ribosomal RNA". It matches the Rfam family "Bacterial small subunit ribosomal RNA", at positions 28 to 507 of the family's 1533-position model. The record is from RNAcentral.